Molecule: long non-coding RNA, 2666 nt
Organism: Triticum aestivum (bread wheat)
Lineage: Eukaryota; Viridiplantae; Streptophyta; Magnoliopsida; Poales; Poaceae
Exons: 5
Source: RefSeq, a predicted model, not a curated record
UCUCGCAGUCUCCCCAACCUCUCGCUCCCGAUCCCUCCUCUCGAUCUCGUGAGAAAAAUCACCGCCGCCGCCGCCGCCCCCACACUCCGCCGCCGCCGCCCCCACACUCGUAUGCCCCGAUGAACUGCCCAUCUCCAUUGUCGUCUGACGCCCGUCUCGGUCGCCGUCGUGCAUGCCGCCCUUGUACGAUCUGCUCGCCUCCGCCACCGCAACAGCCUGGGCCGAUCCCCUUAUUGAGCCCAUUUGAUGGCGACGCCAACCCAUCUUUUGGUGCUGCAUGCGGCGACAAUGGCGAACGAGAAGAAAUCAACGUAUGCCACCACCAUCGCCGGCUUGCAGGGACCAUUGACCGCAGGUUCGAGAUGAUGCACAACGAGGCGGCGAGGGCCACAAUGGUCAACAUCACUUCAAUCAUCAGGGAGCAAGCUUAUGGCAUCAAAAAAUCGCAUUAACUAUUGGUGGUGACUGACUGUGCGGUGCACGCAUCAGUGGCGCAUCCAAAUCCACUCCACUAAUAAAUUGUCCUCUCCAUUAUAAGAUUCGGUAAAUUUUGGCGGUGGUCACUGGUAUGCCGGGAAGCUUUCAGUUUGGAUCUUGUUGGCGAUUCUCCAUGUAGCCUUGUUGGUUCUGAAUCCAAAGUGCAUAGUAAUCCUGAAGAGUUUGACUCUUUGAAUCAGAGGAAACCAAGGCACACUCGGAUAUGUAUUGGUACAGGUGAAAUCUAUGAUGGUGAAAAAGAUUAACUGCAUCGAAUACAAAGUUCCGUAACAUAGCGUAUGUGCACAAGGAUGCCUUUAUCUGAUGGUGAACUACACCUCUUCCAAAAAACACUCCACCCAAAAGGAAGCCCUGUACUAUCUUGUUUCUGUCAUAGGUGAUGUUUUUAUUCCUUGUUCUGAUGGAAACAUGGCUAAUGUUUUUGAAGGACACCACAUGCAUGUCUAUUUAUGACCUUCCUAAUAUGAAUAUCGUUUCUUCUUGCCACCAUGGAUAUGCAUUAGUAUGACAUGGUUAGCUGGGCCGAACGUGAGAAGAAAAUAUAAAUAUUUGCAUACACACAGGGUUGUAGUGUAUAGCUCUCAUGUGAAUGCAGACGUUUGUUUUGACGAAUCGUGACUAUCGUGAGCAAGAAUGAACCCAGUAAAAUAAUUUAUUUAUUUUUGUUUGUUCCUUACGAUCCAAUCAACGGACCGGGUUCCACUAUCAGCAAAAUAAUUACUGAAGGUUAACUGAAAAGUCUAUAUCUUGCAACUGUAUGUUAAUGGGCUUCCACAUGGGUUCAUCAUUCCGAACCAACAUCAACUGUUGGGACUCUGGCAUAUAUUUCUCAUCAAUAUGGUCGCAAGGUAUAAUCCAUUCUCUUUCUGCUUUAAACUGUCUCAUGCAUACUCUGCCAUAUGUUGCCUAAUUAUUUCAUUUUGCUAGGCCAUAAAAGCUUUACUUGCUUUCUGAAUCUUACAUCCACCUUUUGUUGGCAUGAUUUGUGCAUAGUCUUUAGGCGCAACUGUUUAAAUAUUUUAUGUUUUAUUUGCUGAAGCACUACUAAUUUGUCUUUGGAUGGCAAUAGAUGAUGUGUGGAUGUGGGGCCUUCCUUUAUGCGAUGUUGGUUGGUACCUACACUUUCGAUCCAUAAGAUCACACGAAUUUUGAAAUGAAAACUGACAAGUCAGGUAAGUUGCCAGCCGUUCAACUUUGCAAUUCCACAAGUUAAUACUGAACUCAUAUUGCACAGAUUAUUAGGUGUUCAGUGUUCAAUUCCAGACUGUGCACGCAUAUCUAGACUCCGGAGUCGUUAUCUCAAGGAUCUUCUUUGCCAACAUGGGCUAUGAUCUCGACAUAGACAAUGGCGGAGAGAUAAUAUAUGCUCUGUAUCUUGUAAAUGUAUGUGCCGAAGUAGCUGCAGCCUUCCACCUUAUGAACAAGUUCUGUCAAUGGUCAGGAGGGGCGAGCCCAUCAAAGAUUAUGUUCAAGGCUACAACUUGAAUCGGAAUCUCUAUUGCUAUGUAAAUAUGUGGUUCGUGCCAAGAAAAUUCAGUUAGUUGUGUGAUUCUAUUUUUGGUGUUCCUUUCUGUUAAAAGUUAAAACCGAUGGAAACAUAUAUACAUCAUUUGUACAUGGCGAGCGUGGAGUGAAAAACAUCCAGAUGCCAGUCUGCCAGCCAGUCCAGAUUCUGAGCGGGGCAAGCGGGUGUGCGAGUGAGGAACGAUAUGGUUGAGUAUUCUGUGAGUAGCUCACUGGUUUUGCAUUCACUGCCAAUGGGUGGGUACAAACUUUUGGAUCAAGGUGUGUAAGACAUCAAUUAUCUAUGUUGACGUGAGCCACCCCAACCCCACGGCAGUGUUCUGGUCCAAGAGCCAAGUGCGGUAUGAGCUUGACGAGAGCUGCGACGUGGGCAUGGUACACUGCUGAUGCUGCCAGAGGAGGUUGUGCAGCAGUUGUGGUCGGGGCGGACACCAUCAUCAUAUGCGCAUGGUUGGUGUAUUCUUCCUUGGACUGUGAGGUUUGUAUUGGCAACUUUAAGGGAAAAUACGCUUUCGAACAUGGUGGUAAUUACACCUGGUUACAUAUCUUAUUUUUAAAAAUUUCAGAAAAAGUCAAAACAUUCCAAAACUUUUCCUAACAAACUUUCUGGCGUACAAAAAUGUUCUGCAACAAAACAUUCCCUA